CAAUUCAUCACUCACAACAAAAUACUGGGUUUUGCGUAUAUUUAUUCUAAUUUAACUAUUUCUUCAAAAUACUUUUGAAGUGGAUCAAUUUUAUGGUUAACACACUUAAAACGCUAACUAUUUCUACAAUUGUGAGAUCCAAUUACGUCAAAAUGCUGGAUAUGGUGAUAUCUACAGUGUGCGUAUUACUGAUUAUGGCACUGUUGAGUUGCUUAUGCUGUUUGUGUAUGAAGUACAGUGACCUGAAAAUGAAAUUAUACAUCAUUGAAAUGGCAAAGAAAAGAGGUGUGAAGGUGGACCUUGACCAACUCGACGGGAAAAAACCUCAUCAAUCUCCGUUAGCCAACGAGAAUUGUACAAUCGUCAUACCUGAAGUUGGUAUUAUACUUUAGCUUAGCAAGAUGCGUCAAUAUGGUCCAACCUGAUUCUAGUAAGCAUUUGAGCUCCGAAUAUCCGAGUUUGAGUCUGCAGUAUCUCUUAGCUGAAGUAUUCACAAGCUCAAGAUUGUUUAGUUCUACUCUAAAUAUGCUAACUUCAACGCACAACGAUGCAUAGAUGGUUUUGAAGUCAUUUUAUAUUUACAAUAUGAUUGUUAUAUUUAAUACUUAGUCAUCAUCAUCAGCCCAUUAACGUCCCCACUGCUGGGGCACGGGCCUUCCCUAUGGAUGGAUAGGGAGAUCGGGCCCCAAACCAUCACGCGGGCCCAGUGCGGAUUGAUGGUUAUUAACGACCGCUAAUGCAGCCGGGACCAACGGCUUAACGUGCCUUCCGAAGCACGGAGGAGCUUGAGAUGAAUUUUUUUGUGGUCACCCAUCCUGUGACCGGCCUUUGCGAAAGUUGCUUAACUUCAACAAUCGCAGACGGAGCGCGUUUACCGCUGCGCCACCGAGCUCCUCAAUACUUAGUAAUGAUACUCAUUUAUUCAUAAAAUACUUAAAUUUUUAAUGGAAAACCAUUAUUGAUGGUAAUAAAUGCAUUAAGAUUUAAUGCUCCAUUUCACGGAGAAUGUGUAUGUAUGUCCUGUCAAACUUUAUAAGCCCAAUUUAUUUUAUUAGUAAGUUUAGGAAAAGUUAAGUUUUACCUUUUAGAGCAAUGUCUAUGCAUUUUUUUUAAGUUACUUAUUUUAUCAAUAUUUGUUUAGAUAACCAAUUGUCGUAAUAAAAGAAAGAUAAAUAUUGGUAGGUAACAUAUUUCUUGACUCAAUUGGGUAGUUUCCUAGGUCAAAGAUAAAAUCUUUUCCUAUUUAUGUUUUUUAAGAAAGAAAAAUGUAAUAAUAAGUGCGACAUUUUGUUACGUUUUUCUAUGACGUCACAGGUUGCUUUCUCCUUCGAUAGUAAUUUCAUGUUUUGACGUUUAGUAUUUUUACUAAACAUCAAAACACGAAACUGAUUUGAUUAAUUGGAAACUACCCUAUUAUGACUUUUAUCGCAAAUGUAGCAUUUUCUAGUCUACAACUAAUUAGUGCAUCUCUUUUAUGACUAUAAAAGACUAAAAUAGACUGUAGUUCUCUUAUGACAUUUAUUAUAAAUUAGUAUUUUAUUACGACUUUUCAGUAAAUAACCAAUGUUGCUUAUUACUUUCUUAUCAAUUUUAUAAAAUAAUUAUUAACGAUAAUUUAAAAAUGGAAGCUAUAUUCUAAACUUUACACCUACAUGGGAUUAAAUGGUGUCUUAAAAUAUUGUUGAUAAGUAUUAUAUUAUUAUUAAAUUAACAUUUUAUAAUAUAGGAAGGGAAAGUUUCUAAUAAUUUUCUUGUAAUUUUCAUAAAAAGAUUAUUGAUUGUUGUAGUAUUACCCCCAGUACCGGACUUCAAUCAAUGAUUAAUAAUUGAUCUUAUGUGUAAUUUUCACUAAUGGUGGCCAUACACCAUCCUUCCUAUCGUCCAAUCGGCAUGACGCGAUCGAUUGGAUCAAAUCGAAUUGACCGUAUGUGGGCGUGGAUUGUGCCGUCAAAUAGAUUGGACAUGCCAAUCCACGCCCACAUACGGUCAAUUCGAUUUGAUCCAAUCGAUCGCGUCAUGCCGAUUGGACGAUAGGAAGGAUGGUGUAUGGCCACCAUAACACAACUGGCGCGCCAAAUAGCGAUACGACUCUCCACCUAUCACGUUGGUCUAACAAAAAGCGUGAACCUUGCGAAGCUACGCUUCUCUGAUCAGCCCUAUUGCGAAUAUAGUCGUGAGCGUGAGUUAUGUCUAGUAAAAUCAUAUAUCUUUAUAGUUUGUUCGAAAAGCGUUUUCUAACUAGUAUUACCACUAUUGUUGCAUAGUGUGAAAUGGCCCAAAUUUGUAUGGCUGCUGUUUACCAACAUAACAACCGAAAACUUGGUUAUAACCGACAUUUGUGUCUUAUACACUUACAAUACAGAAACUUAUGUAAAGUUGUGGAAAUUAAUUAGGAAUAUGUUGCUAUUUUGCGGCAAAAAGUGGAACUAUGUCUGCUACAGUAUUAUUUAUUACAUUUAUUAAUUGGAUUACGCGUAAUAAUGCAAAAACUGUCUUUGGUCUUUUACUGAGAGCUGCCAAUUACUUGAACGAUAAUUAUUAUAAUUAAAUAUAGUUCCUAUACUUAUGUAGUUUUUACCCAUUUACUUAGUGUUACUCGUAAAUAUUGAUGUAGGCGAUUGUGACGGACGAAACUUAAUUUUACUUCUGUGUUUGAUUAACGAACUUUAUAUCGAACGACAUAAUAAUAGUAAUAGUAACAAUAAAAAUAGUAAUAUACUGGCCCCUAAUUUGAUUUUAAGUUAUACCUGUCAUUUUCUUAUCCGCCGAAAAGAAAAGGGACGGAUGAUUGUCAGUUGUUAAUUUUAAAAUAGAUGAAUAACCCGGGCGAAUAAAAUAGGUAUCUCGCUGGUUUGCAAACCGUUUGGCAUGUGCUGUCAACUUAAUUCUGUCGGGUUAUCGGCCAAUGUAAUAUUUUUAAAGGGUUGUUUUAGAUUUGUGUCUAAAAUUUGCGUGUGUUCCAUAAAUUUUAUGUCUGUCGAACCUUUACUUUUCGGCGGAUAAAAAAUAUUAAGUAUAACUUAAAAUAAAAUUAGAUGGUGUCUAUAGCAAUUAGCACCACUAUGUUUAGUGCUGUCAAACUAAAUUAAAAUUAAGUUUAGUCUCCCUAAAUCGGCACUAGUGUGUCCUAAAGUGUAAACCCAAUUUAUAUAAUCUUAACUGCUAUUGUAUUUCGUAAGGAUAUUUGAACGAAUGAUCUCAUAUUUUAUUGUUAUUUACUCCCAAAAUGAUGCUAAAAUGCCUUGAUGUUUCUAGUCAUUUUAUUGUGCAAUAAUUCUAGUAUUGUAGUUUUAGAAUUAGACUGAAUAGACGAAAUUAAGUAAUUUAUGCUAGUACUGAGAUAUUCAUAAUGAUUCUUAGGAACUUUGAACCGUUUAUAACGCUGUUUUUAGUAGGAAAUAGGUGCCGAUGUCGGCAGGCACAAACUAAUCUCAUUUAGUAAAGCUCUAUAAUUAGUUCCUUGCUUCAUAUAAGGGCUUAUUAAACCUUCCUUUCCGGCAGGGAUGCGUCAAGCUCACGGGGGUUACUAUGGUUACUCCUCACCAACGCCUGUUUGCCGAUCAGAUCGUGUAGUCUAAUAGCAAAUCGGCGGGUCGUAACCAUGGCAAACACGAUCUCGAGCGAGGUGGGGGGAGUAACCAUGGUAACCACCCUUGACCUUGACGUAUCUAGACGGGGAGUGUAAGAAAGAAACAGAGCUAGUUAUAGAACUAAGUUGGUGUCUGUCAGAAUCACUGUAGCAUGCAUAUGACAAUGUAUAAUUAAAUUCCAAUGCUAUGACUUAACCGCCUUAGUAGUCUUGUACUUUUUCUAAAGAUCUCUACCAGAGAGAAAUAUUUUCUAAAAUCUUAUAAUUACCUGCAACUUAGGUGCCUACUAGAGGAUAUAGUAGUAAUACACUGGUCCAAUAUGGCGUGUUUAAAAUAGUGUUCAAUUAUAUAUUCUAGUAGCAAUGAACAAAACAUAUUUUUGCUUCCGCAAAAACUAUUUUCUAAAGUAUUUUCUUACAAGUCUUUUAUUAAUACUUCUUUAGAAAGAAAAAUCUUUUUUGUAAAAGGAAAUAUUAAACAAGUUAUUCAACUUUAUGCUAAAGAGAAAAAGCAUUCAGUGUUAAUAUCCUUAGAUGGCAACUCAUUUUAUUAUAUACUUACUUACUAGAAUAUUAUUAACAUUAUAUUUAAUGUAAAGUAUUGUAAGAUUCUAAAAGAUGAGAGAAACGUACUAAUUUAGUGUUGAAAAUGUUUGUUAUACGGGCGAUGAUUUUUCUAUCUAAUAUUACAUUAUAUUGUCUUUAAAAUUGUGGACAUCACAGCGAAUUCGGCGAUAAAUUCAAAUUAAAAAGCGGAGCUAUGAUUUCCAUCGCACAAUAAAAAUCUUUAUCUUUAUCGUCUGUUUCUGACCCAUAAAAAUAGGGUUGGUUAGGGAAAUCCAUAGAGUUGUCUUUCAUCCUCCAAAUUGAAUGAAAUCAAAAAGCAGAAAAAUACAAAAAAUAGAAGUGAUGUGUGCUAGAGCAGACGUCUUCUAAAUUACAAAUAGGUACAAUAAUUUAAAAACAUAGCUUCAUCAGUUUGUGUAUGCUUGUAAACUUCCAUGAAUUCAGGGUGUUAGUAACAUCGUAACGAAAACUUUGAGGGAUGAUUCUGACCAUGAAUCUGAGCUGAUAUCAAGUAGAAUAAUAAUUGUCUGUCGCAAAAGUAUAGAACUAGAAAAUAAAAAUCUAAAAUUUUUAUGUAUUUUUCGACAGGAAAUUCCAAGUGGAAUAUCAAGUGAUAUCAACUCAGAAUCAUGGUCUGAAUCAUUCCCAUCUGUAUUCGUUACGGUGUCACUAACAUCCUACAUGAACGACUUACCAGCCUGCGAUGAGAGUGAGCGAUGGGAGUCAUCGGUAUGGCAAUGCAGGACGGAAGGCAAGUCACAGGGACUGUAACCUGGAACCUGACAGAGGGCAGCAGUAACUGUCAGGAGUUCUAGUACGGCUUUGAAUUAGACUACUCUGGUACCUCUCGCGUCUGAUAGAGUACUGCGGAGCGGAUGGCAAGAGCAAAACCGCUGCCCUAUAUUUCCCAAAAAAAGUAGCAUGGAGAAUGCUACACCGACAAGAGCGUGGCUCUUAAUUCAAAUUCAAAUUCAAAAAUAUCUUUAUUCAGUAGGUAACAUAGUUACACUUUGAAUCGUCAAUUUUUACAUAACGAACGUCUCAUCCGCCUAAAACUACUGCAGCUUCUCACAACCUGUAUAGCCGGGGAAAAGAAGCUGCAAGAAAAGUAAUGAUGAUGAGUAGCACACAUCACAGUAGGUACCUACUUUAUCCACCUUUAUUUCCGACAAUUUUUUGGCGUUAGUGUAGUAGGUAGAUACCUAAAUAAAUCUUACUUUGUCCUGAUUCGCCCGUGUAAAUGUUAGGCUAGUUUGGGUAUAAUUGUUACUGCCAUAUGUCAACGUGCGACUGAAUGAUAUUGUCUAGUGCAUUUUAUAGUUAUUGAGUGUAACUUGCUUAUAUCUAGUCUGAAAUAAAGUACCUAAUUUAA
Molecule: long non-coding RNA, 5528 nt
Filed under: Pectinophora gossypiella (pink bollworm)
Lineage: Eukaryota; Metazoa; Arthropoda; Insecta; Lepidoptera; Gelechiidae
Description: uncharacterized LOC126375753
Source: RNAcentral